UACGAAGGGAGCUAGCGUUGUUCGGAAUUACUGGGCGUAAAGGGCGCGUAGGCGGUUUAGUAAGUCAGAUGUGAAAGCCCCGGGCUUAACCUGGGAACAGCAUUUGAUACUGCUAGACUUGAGAUCGAAAGAGGAGAGUGGAAUUGCGAGUGUAGAGGUGAAAUUCGUAGAUAUUCGCAGGAACACCAGUGGCGAAGGCGACUCUCUGGUUCGAUACUGACGCUAAGGCGCCAAAGCGUGGGUAGCAAACAGG
Molecule: ribosomal RNA, 253 nt
Filed under: uncultured bacterium
Lineage: Bacteria
Description: partial 16S ribosomal RNA
Rfam family: Bacterial small subunit ribosomal RNA
Source: RNAcentral